RNAcentral lists this transfer RNA (72 nucleotides) under Araucaria angustifolia. RNAcentral describes it as "tRNA-Gly". It matches the Rfam family "tRNA". Rfam says of the family: Transfer RNA (tRNA) molecules are approximately 80 nucleotides in length. Their secondary structure includes four short double-helical elements and three loops (D, anti-codon, and T loops). RNAcentral also lists the same sequence under 1 other name. The record is from RNAcentral. Lineage: Eukaryota; Viridiplantae; Streptophyta; Pinopsida; Araucariales; Araucariaceae.
GCGGGUAUGGUUGAAUGGUAAAAUUUCUCUUUGCCAGGGAGAAGAUGCGGGUUCGAUCCCCGCUACCCGCCC